RNAcentral lists this ribosomal RNA (1222 nucleotides) under Clostridioides difficile. RNAcentral's name for it is "bacterial LSU rRNA". It matches the Rfam family "Bacterial large subunit ribosomal RNA", at positions 1 to 1234 of the family's 2925-position model. Lineage: Bacteria; Bacillati; Bacillota; Clostridia; Peptostreptococcales; Peptostreptococcaceae. The record is from RNAcentral.
UGGUCAAGUUAUUAAGGGUGCAGGGCGGAUGCCUUGGCACUAGGAGCCGAUGAAGGACGUGAUAAGCUGCGAUAAGCUUCGGGGAGUUGCACGUAAACUUUGAUCCGAAGAUUUCCGAAUGAGGAAACUCACUUAGAGUAAUGUCUAAGUAUCAUUAAGUGAAUACAUAGCUUAAUGAGGGGAACUCAUGGAACUGAAACAUCAAAGUACCAGAAGGAAGAGAAAGAAAUUCGAUUCCGUAAGUAGCGGCGAGCGAACGCGGAUUAGCCCAAACCAAUAAAGUUUUCUUUAUUGGGGUUGCGGACAUAUCAUAACGAAGAGGUAUCGUAAUUGAAGAGGUUUGGAAAGACCCACCACAGAAGGUAAUAGUCCUGUAUGUUAAACGAGAAGACUUUAGAUAUGAUCCAGAGUACCACGGGACACGUGAAACCCUGUGGGAAGCAGGAGGGACCACCCUCCAAGGCUAAAUACUACCUAGUGACCGAUAGCGUAUAGUACCGUGAGGGAAAGGUGAAAAGAACCCCGGGAGGGGAGUGAAAUAGAACCUGAAACCCUGCACUUACAAGCUGUGGAAGCACAUUUCUUGUGUGACCGCGUACUUUUUGUAGAACGGGCCAACGAGUUACGUUAAGUAGCAAGGUUAAGCACUUAAGGUGCGGAGCCGUAGCGAAAGCGAGUUUUAACUGAGCGUUCAGUUACUUGACGUAGACCCGAAACCGGGCGACCUACCCAUGAGCAGGAUGAAGCGAAAGUAAAAUUUCGGGGAGGUCCGAACCCACGAGCGUUGAAAAGCUCGGGGAUGACUUGUGGGUAGCGGUGAAAUUCCAAUCGAGCCCGGAGAUAGCUGGUUCUCCCCGAAAUAGCUUUAGGGCUAGCCUCAAGGUGAGAGAUACGGAGGUAGAGCACUGAAUGUCCUAGGGGGUAUUGCACCUACCGAAGACUAUCAAACUCCGAAUGCCGUCAUCUUAUACUUGGGAGUCAGACUGUGGGUGAUAAGAUUCAUAGUCGAAAGGGCAACAGCCCAGAUCGUCAGCUAAGGUCCCUAAAUGUAAGUUAAGUGGUAAAGGAUGUGGGAUUGCACAGACAACCAGGAUGUUGGCUUAGAAGCAGCCACUCAUUCAAAGAGUGCGUAAUAGCUCACUGGUCGAGUGAUCCUGCGCCGAAGAUUUCCGGGGCUAAAACUUACUACCGAAGCUACGGCAUCAGUAAUGAUGGGUAGGGG